AGCGAACGCUGGCGGCAGGCUUAACACAUGCAAGUCGAACGGACCUUUCGGGGUUAGUGGCGGACGGGUGAGUACCACGUGGGAACGUGCCCUUAGGUUAGGAAUCACUCAGGGAGACUUAUGUUAAUACCGCAUGUGCCCUUAGGGGGUAAGAUUAAUGGCUUUUUGAGGGGCCUGCGUCAGGUUCGGUAGUUGGUUGAGGUAAUGGCUCACCAAGGCGACGAUCAGGAGCUGGUCGGAGAGGAGGAUCAGCUACAUUGGAACUGAGACACGGCCCCAACUGCGACGGAAGGCAGCAGUAGAGAAUACUGCGCAAUGGACGAAAGCGUGACGCAGCCAUGCCGGGGAAAUGAGGAAGGGCUUAGGAUAGUAAAAUUCUUUCACCCGGGACGAGAAUGACGGUACCCGGAGAAGAAGCCCCGGCUAACUACGUG
This 434-nucleotide ribosomal RNA is filed under the name uncultured bacterium. RNAcentral's name for it is "partial 16S ribosomal RNA". It matches the Rfam family "Bacterial small subunit ribosomal RNA", at positions 29 to 507 of the family's 1533-position model. The record is from RNAcentral.